Non-coding RNA from Streptomyces silvensis, 64 nucleotides. The record is from Rfam. Lineage: Bacteria; Bacillati; Actinomycetota; Actinomycetes; Kitasatosporales; Streptomycetaceae.
AGCCGAAACGCCCCUCGGGGCGUCCGCGGGGACUGGCCUACCCGCGCUGAUGAGGCAGGCCGUA